ACCUGCCCGGUGAAUAUUAAACGGCUGCGGUAUUUUCGACCGUACAAAGGUAGCGUGGUAAUUAGUUUCUUGAUUGGGGGCUGGUAUGAAAGGUUGGACGAGAAAAAUACUGUGUUCGGUUAAAUUUGAUUGAAUUUAAUUUUUGAGUUAAAAAGCUCAAAUUUGUUUAGAGGACGAGAAGACCCUAUAGAGUUUAAGAUUCUUUAUUUUAAUUUUUCUUGGUAUUUUAAUUCCUUAAAUUAAAAGUAUUUUUGGUUGGGGAGAUGGUAGGAUUUUAUAAACUCCUAUUUUUUUAAUUUACAUUGAUUUGUGGAUUUUUGAUCCUUGGUAGAGAUUGAAAGAUAAAAUUACCUUAGGGAUAACAGCGUAAUUUUUUUAAGAGUUCUUAUUAAAAAGAAAGAUUGCGACCUCGAUGUUGGAUUAAAAUUUAAUUUUGGUGUAGAAGCUGAAAAAUUAAGUCUGUUCGACUUUUAAAAUUUUACAUGAUCUGAGU
This 493-nucleotide ribosomal RNA is filed under the name Fornax sp. 2 BMNH 703099. RNAcentral's name for it is "partial 16S ribosomal RNA". It matches the Rfam family "Archaeal large subunit ribosomal RNA", at positions 1949 to 2679 of the family's 2987-position model. Lineage: Eukaryota; Metazoa; Arthropoda; Insecta; Coleoptera; Eucnemidae. The record is from RNAcentral.